AAUAGCUGGAUCAUCAUAACCUGCUCGAUCUCCAUGAAGCUCCACAAACUUGUCAGUAAUGCUAAAUACAUGGUCAAGGAAAGUGGGCCUGUUAGGGUGUCGUGCAAUAUUCACACGUUGUAUAGGGGUCAAAUGUGUAUACAAAUCCUUUAGAGCCUGUAAUUUAAAGCAGGAAAAAAAAAACGGAGGUCAUGAAAAUACUCCACCAACCAAUACUCAUUAAUGAGUUCCAAAAUCUGAAUCUAAUUAUCUAAACCUACUAGAGAAAUUUUCAUCAAUAUGGAGCUGGGGCCUAAAAAUUUAGAUAUUGAACAACAAUAAGCAUGAUUUGGAUAGUGCUUUCUUCCACUUACAAGUAUCUAUUGUAGAAAUGCAAUAAUAAUGUGUACCACUUUCAUUGUUCUAUAUUUUCAUCGCCAUUUCAUAACCAUACAUACAUAUUUUUCAGGCAAAAGAAGCAUUAACAGUGUAUUGUUCAAUAGUAGUUUUUUUUUUCUUGAACUAUAUAAGCACCAUGAAUAUCAAAAUCUAAAAUUAACAUUUUCACUUUAAAAUUGCCCAUGACCCAUUAUAAUUUAAAAUUUACCUACUUGAUCAUCCAAUCAUAAAGUAGUCACGUAUAGAUGCAAAUACCUUAAACCCCUUGAUGAGAAAAGAGUGCCAAUUCCUGCCUAGGCACAGUUCUAUUAAUGUUAAAUAAUAAUUCAUAUUAUAAGCAAUAAAAGGUUAGCAUGCUACCGCUCAACCUAUAAUAUUUACCUUCUUUCAGCCUCAACUAUAACUGAUGUCAAAAUAAAAGAAUGUUAUGGUCAGAACUCAGAGAAAAAAUAUAAGCUCGCAAUUUGAAGUCUUAAUUCAAAAAUUUACACAUAAAACAUAUCAGAGCACAACAAAUGUGGCACAAAUAAAUUUAUUCAUGUUUUAUUUCAACUGAUUUUAUGUCACUGAUUUUUUUUUAUAAUUGAUUUUAUGUCACUAAUUGUCAAACCUGUUGAUAUUUAUUUUCUAGUGAGAUAAUCUGAUCAGUGAAGUCUAAACCAGUGUCAUUUGCCAUCUUCCGCACAUCAGUUAUCUUCUUCUCUAAAUCAACAAGUGGUUUCUCAAAAUCCAAAGUAACAAGUUUUGGCUUGUCUUUUAAAGGUUUUAAAGGUGAAAGAUGAGUGAGGACUCCGCCUGGCACAUUAGGAUCGGGAUUUUCGGGCCAAGGAUAUUCGUGCUUCUUCACUUUCCUAAUCUUGGCAACCACUGAAAAAUCCCUCGUUUUCGAGCUGAAUCUUGCUCUCCCAAGGGUCCUCAAAGGGAUGCCGCUAACUCCAUUACUGGAGCUCCGAAGAAGAUCAGAAGCUGAAGUUCCACUGAAUGCAGCUGGAGAAUGAGAUACCGAAGCCAUUCUCCUAAUCCAACAAUUACAAGCUCCAAAUUUCACAACAAAAUCUGCCAAUUAAAUAUUUAAACUUCCAAAUUAAGCUGCAAGAGCAAUUGAAUCAGAAACUGACAGUGAAAUUGGGAUCUCAGUGUAGAGAGAAGAUUAUGAUCUAUAAGAGGGAAAGUG
RNAcentral lists this unclassified non-coding RNA (1552 nucleotides) under Hevea brasiliensis (rubber tree). The record is from RNAcentral. Lineage: Eukaryota; Viridiplantae; Streptophyta; Magnoliopsida; Malpighiales; Euphorbiaceae.